UUUUCCACUCUCCAGCCACAUGACAAAAGUGCCUGCUGGCCUCAGACCAUGAAGCAGUAGUGUUGAUCCCAGCCUUUUUAUUGCUGCCAGCAACUAUCACAAAGUGACUUUAUUGUGCAUGCAACAGUUGGUGACACUGACUCAGGGAGUGUUAUCAGCUCCUAUUCUACAUAUUUCAGAACACGUUUAUUAUGAGGACACCCUGUUGUUCAGCAGCCCAAGAAAAGCUGGACUUUCUCAAAGCAGCAAGAAGAAAUUGCAGUCUUUUGUGUGAGACAAAGCAUCAUAUACUGGCAUCUUGUCUUGCCUUGGCAACACAGGUCUGCUAACAGCUGAGUCCUCAGAAAUGGUCCUGCAGGGCAGGACCAGAGGCAAGCAGAAGGGAACCAUGCAGCACCCAGUAAUGUAGAAUACCCUGUGCAGGGCAGGAGGAGGGGACACCAGCAGCUCCCAAGGAUGGACUGGAGCAACUGGAAAAGCAAAAGGAGGACUGAAACUUGCCUUAGUGAGAGAGGUAGCUCAGCUGCAUAGGUUUCAGCACUAUAGAAGACCUUAAACUCAAAAGGUAAGCUUUGUGCAGGUGUAAAUUCCAAUGGGCUUGUAUCAGCACCUUCUGCCCACUAGUCAUCACUCCGAUUUUUCUCAAGAAAAACUAUUAACCCAUGAAGGACUGGAAGCUGGAGAUUCCUUUUCUUUCACAAGAUCUGCAGCAUCUUGAGAGGAAUAUGGAGAAAAGUAUUAGGGCUCAGAAAGGGAAACAAGUUCUUCAAAGAAGAUCCUAUUUUAAGUGGUUCAAUGUCAGCAUGACUUCUAAGGGCUAAAAGGAAGGCUACUGGAAGGCUGUGAGGAACACUCCCAAAGGGAAGCAGCAAACCGGUGACAUAUAGGAUAAAGGAUUCUAGGAUCACCUUUGGCUAUUUAGCAACCACUGUCCUUAUGAGACAUCAAUCUAGAGCAAACCCUGGACCUUGAACUAAAAAUACAUUGCAAGCUUGGCUCCUAAUUUUGAGAAGGGGUGCAAACCUGUUUUCCUGCAUGAUUAAAAGGAGAAGAAAUUAGAAAUUAGAAGGAAAAUAAGAAAAUGUUCCUGCUUAACAGUCUUGGCAUGUCUGGGUUCAGGUACCAAUCAGAUGCAGAGCUCUCUUCUCCUGCAGUACAAAUGACUUUAAACUUAGAAAUGAAGAGACUUCAACCCCCCAACAAUUGUAAUUCUGAAGUGCUCAACAGCCUUUAAUUCAUUAUGAACCUAGAGGCAGAGAUUAAAAAAAAAAAGUCAAAAAAAUACAUCACAUCCUUAAUCUAGGAAAAAAAGUCAGUAUUUUUAUAGCACAUCAU
This is a long non-coding RNA of Numida meleagris (helmeted guineafowl), 1335 nucleotides long. RefSeq lists it as uncharacterized. The record is from RefSeq and is a predicted model, not a curated record. The transcript is spliced from 2 exons. NCBI's taxonomy places the organism in Eukaryota, Metazoa, Chordata, Aves, Galliformes, Numididae.